Pezoporus flaviventris is the source of this 329-nucleotide long non-coding RNA. RefSeq lists it as uncharacterized. Lineage: Eukaryota; Metazoa; Chordata; Aves; Psittaciformes; Psittacidae. The transcript has 2 exons. The record is from RefSeq and is a predicted model, not a curated record.
UUUGCUGCCCUGUGCUACAUUGACCCUUUGUCUGAAAGAUACUGGGGUUUGGGAAGGAAGGUAAUAUUGUACUGAAAUUUAAGCGCCUUUUGUUAAAUAUCAAGGAAAACAGAAUAUAUGGUCUGAUCAGCAACUCCAUUGCAAUUUGAAAAUAUGUAAUCAGCUGGAGGCGAUGUGCCCAACCUUAAUCGGUGCUGGAGCCUUUGGAAGAGAGAGAUUGUGUCAUCACACAGUAUAUAGUCCAACAAUGACUGACCUUGGUGAAUCUGUGAAAGAAGAAAAUAGUUUUCUCACUUCUUAAAUUGCAAAAUGCACAAAAGAAAAAGAAA